AAAAAAAAAAAGGAAAGAAAGUGAAGUUUGCCAAUGGAAAUAAGAUGGAUGUCGAAGGUGUUGGUAUAGUGUAGAUCAAGCUGCAUGGUAAUUGUGUAAAAUUGUUAGAUGAAGUGAGGUAUGUUCUUAAAUUGACAAGAACUUAAUUUCCUUGAGUAAGCAAGAUUGUUUGGGUUAUAGGUGUUCUAUUCAUAGUAGAGCCAUAAGGAUUAGUCAAGGUGCUCUCAUGAUCAUGAAGAGCGAGAAGAUUGGGCCAAAAAAUCUUUACAAAUUGGAAGGAAACACAUUGAUUGGAAUAAUGCAAGUUACCCAAUAGAGAAUUGACUUUUGUUGAAGUUGUGAAAACUAAUUUCAUUUGACUUAGAGGUGGAAAUUGUUAGAAUCCAAGUUUAAUUAGAACUAUGAUUGAAAAUUAAUUAGGAAGUUUUAGUUGAAAAAUAAAAUAAAAUAAAUGGUGGCAUUAAUUCGGUGGAAACCAAAUUAUAUUGCUAGUGGGAUUUAUUAUCCAAAUUUAAUUUGGACAGUGUUGGCUUAUAAAUAGGCAUGUAAUGGCCAAUGUUGAGAUGUGUAGUGCGUGGCACAUUCCAUUAAGAAUAGCGAGGGAGUUUGAUGUAGAACAAAGGGAAAGAACCAAGAAGAAGGAGAUAUCAAGGACCAAUCCUUGAAGAGAAAACUAAUUCUCAAAAUAUUAUUGAGCUCAUAAAAUUGUAAUAGAAAAUCUGAAAAAUAAUGAAAAAAAAACUAGGCCUAUGUAUAGUGUUUGUAUAACCCUAAAU
RNAcentral lists this unclassified non-coding RNA (776 nucleotides) under Hevea brasiliensis (rubber tree). Lineage: Eukaryota; Viridiplantae; Streptophyta; Magnoliopsida; Malpighiales; Euphorbiaceae. The record is from RNAcentral.